CUGAAAACAUCAACACAGGUGGAUUUCACCAACAUGUGUGACUGAAGUUUCCUGAGAAGAAGAAGACUGGAAUCCUGACCAGCCCAUCCCCUGUGCGGGCGGCGAAGCCUUGAUUUACAACUCUGGCUGGGAAAGCAUUUCAUUCUCUUCCCGGAUCCCCAGUCACUCCCUCCCUCACCAUCUAAGCGGCAACCAUGCUCCCAAAGACCUGCUCUACCAUAAAGGUAAGAAGCGAGGUUUCAGUACUCUGCAUGGGACACCCCAAACCCGCUCGCUCCCUGCCACACACACACACACACACACACACACACACACACACACGCCUCUGACAAGUACUGAACAGCCCAGUCUCUGUAAUCCCCCCCCCACCACCACCACCACCAAUCCAGAGAAUCCUGGAGGAUGAGAGGAGAGCGGUGGGACACCCUUUGGCCUGCAGCUGCUGCCGCCACUCCGGCUCCUAUGUCCGGAGGGAUGGGCUGGCAAGAGAGGAUAGUUUUAAAUCUGAUUUCUCCAAGGAUCUUACCUCCUGCCUCACUGAGUCACUGAAAGGAGCCGUUGAGGACCCGGGGCCACCUGGCGGCCGGCCAUCUACCAGGUCAGCAGUAGCAUCCCCAGCACUGUGCUCAGGCGAUGGACAGGAGGGGCGGUUCUCUUGGGAAUGAUAACCGGCCCUGACCAAGGAGCCAGCCCGUGAUGGAAACAACUAGGGUUCCCCAGCUGAGGAUUUAGUCCUGGUUGCAGAGUCCACACCCCGGCACAAACCUACCACGUGACUGAAGGGCGGCCUCCCACCCAGUGGGCCUGAAGUCCUGUCCAGAAGCUCUGUGAUCCUGCCAGGGAGGCAAGACCGAACCAAGGAGCCCACUUUUCUAACGCCCUCGACUGGGCUGCCAGGUGCGAUAUACAGCACACCUCAUCCCUUCCAGCCCUUCAGCCCAUCACAGCCACGGCAAUCAGCCACCGGCCCCUUGCCCCGCACUCACCUCGGGGCCCGGCGUCUCCACCGCCAGCUUCCUUGUCCGCCAUGGUCCUGCAGCCUCAGCCCGGGAAAGGAGCCUCCGGUGCUAAAUCUUAGGCUCCCGAGCUAGGUCUGAGCCUCUGGACAGCGGGAGCACCACUCUGACGCUGCCGCCGCAGCCCGGGCUCCUCCCCACGCUCCUCCCGGGCCCGCCCCACGGAGCCAAGGCCCUGGAGAAGGAGGGAGUUGGCUCCUCCCACAAGCUCUGAAACCGCUGGUCGCCGCCCAGCCGAGGCCACACCCCGUGCUGUCAUUAGCGCACCAGGACUCAGCUUGGGCGGUGGAGGGUCAUAGCUGAGCAGGGGUCUCUGCAGCUGAUCCAACCCGGCGGACACAGAAGCGCACAAGGUCGGAUUUCAAGCUCUGGAGUUCCCGCCAGACCCUUCAGCAAGCACUGCACACUCAGCAUUCCAUGCGAAGCACACUCCAGUCCACAUCAAUGGCCUCUGCUCCUAGGUCCCAGAGGAGCACACCAAAGCAAGCACUGGAGACCCUGGUGCAGCCGGGAGCCAGGCCACAACUUGUGCAGGGCUGAGGCCCAGCACCCCCACCAACUUUUCCUCUUCAGGGUGCCUACAGGACUGCAAAGCAACUCUUGACCCACGGAGGUACUUGUCGCAGAGACUGUGUUGCCCUUCCAUAUACGGGAUGCAUCCCUGGCCCCAUUAAAAUAGGACAUUAAUAAUUCAAAACUUC
Long non-coding RNA from Mus musculus (house mouse), 1717 nucleotides. RefSeq annotates it as predicted gene, 52393. The record is from RefSeq and is a predicted model, not a curated record. Lineage: Eukaryota; Metazoa; Chordata; Mammalia; Rodentia; Muridae. The transcript has 2 exons.